This 277-nucleotide ribosomal RNA is filed under the name uncultured Sphingomonadales bacterium. Its description in RNAcentral is "partial 16S ribosomal RNA". It matches the Rfam family "Bacterial small subunit ribosomal RNA", at positions 505 to 781 of the family's 1533-position model. Lineage: Bacteria; Pseudomonadati; Pseudomonadota; Alphaproteobacteria; Sphingomonadales. The record is from RNAcentral.
GUGCCAGCAGCCGCGGUAAUACGGAGGGAGCUAGCGUUGUUCGGAAUUACUGGGCGUAAAGCGCACGUAGGCGGCUUUGUAAGUUAGAGGUGAAAGCCUGGAGCUCAACUCCAGAAUUGCCUUUAAGACUGCAUCGCUUGAAUCCAGGAGAGGUGAGUGGAAUUCCGAGUGUAGAGGUGAAAUUCGUAGAUAUUCGGAAGAACACCAGUGGCGAAGGCGGCUCACUGGACUGGUAUUGACGCUGAGGUGCGAAAGCGUGGGGAGCAAACAGGAUUAG